ACUCCUACGGGAGGCAGCAGUAGGGAAUCUUCCACAAUGGACGAAAGUCUGAUGGAGCAACGCCGCGUGAGUGAAGAAGGGUUUCGGCUCGUAAAACUCUGUUGUUAAAGAAGAACAUAUCUGAGAGUAACUGUUCAGGUAUUGACGGUAUUUAACCAGAAAGCCACGGCUAACUACGUGCCAGCAGCCGCGGUAAUACGUAGGUGGCAAGCGUUGUCCGGAUUUAUUGGGGCGUAAAGCGAGCGCAGGCGGUUUUUAAGUCUGAUGUGAAAGCCUUCGGCUCAACCGAAGAAGUGCAUCGGAAACUGGGAAACUUGAGUGCAGAAGAGGACAGUGGAACUCCAUGUGUAGCGGUGAAAUGCGUAGAUAUAUGGAAGAACACCAGUGGCGAAGGCGGCUACCUGGUCUGCAACUGACGCUGAGACUCGAAAGCAUGGGUAGCGAACAGGAUUAGAUACCCUGGUAGGAUAGCG
This 473-nucleotide ribosomal RNA is filed under the name uncultured bacterium. Its description in RNAcentral is "bacterial SSU rRNA". It matches the Rfam family "Bacterial small subunit ribosomal RNA", at positions 335 to 801 of the family's 1533-position model. The record is from RNAcentral.